Molecule: transfer RNA, 77 nt
Filed under: Gemmobacter sp.
Lineage: Bacteria; Pseudomonadati; Pseudomonadota; Alphaproteobacteria; Rhodobacterales; Paracoccaceae
Description: tRNA-Met
Rfam family: tRNA
About the family: Transfer RNA (tRNA) molecules are approximately 80 nucleotides in length. Their secondary structure includes four short double-helical elements and three loops (D, anti-codon, and T loops). Further hydrogen bonds mediate the characteristic L-shaped molecular structure. tRNAs have two regions of fundamental functional importance: the anti-codon, which is responsible for specific mRNA codon recognition, and the 3' end, to which the tRNAs corresponding amino acid is attached (by aminoacyl-tRNA synthetases). tRNAs cope with the degeneracy of the genetic code in two manners: having more than one tRNA (with a specific anti-codon) for a particular amino acid; and 'wobble' base-pairing, i.e. permitting non-standard base-pairing at the 3rd anti-codon position.
Source: RNAcentral
GGCUGGGUAGCUCAGUUGGUUAGAGCACACGACUCAUAAUCGUGGGGUCGGGAGUUCAAAUCUCCCCCCCGCCACCA